Molecule: ribosomal RNA, 381 nt
Filed under: uncultured bacterium
Lineage: Bacteria
Description: bacterial SSU rRNA
Rfam family: Bacterial small subunit ribosomal RNA
Source: RNAcentral
UACGGGGGGUGCAAGCGUUAAUCGGAAUCACUGGGCGUAAAGGGUGCGUAGGCGGUACGUUAGGUCUGUCGUGAAAUCCCCGGGCUCAACCUGGGAAUGGCGGUAGAAACCGGCGAACUAGAGUAUGAGAGAGGGUGGUGGAAUUCCAGGUGUAGCGGUGAAAUGCGUAGAGAUCUGGAGGAACAUCAGUGGCGAAGGCGGCCACCUGGCCCAAUACUGACGCUGAGGCACGAAAGCGUGGGGGAGCAAACAGGAUUAGAUACCCUGGUAGUCCACGCCCUAAACGGUGAAUACUAGAUGUUUGGUACCUAGCGUACUGAGUGUCGUAGCUAACGCGAUAAGUAUUCCGCCUGGGAAGUACGGCCGCAAGGUUAAAACUCA